Molecule: ribosomal RNA, 431 nt
Filed under: Anguilla anguilla (European eel)
Lineage: Eukaryota; Metazoa; Chordata; Actinopteri; Anguilliformes; Anguillidae
Description: partial large subunit ribosomal RNA
Rfam family: Bacterial large subunit ribosomal RNA
Source: RNAcentral
GGUCCCGCCUGCCCUGUGACCACAAAGUUUAACGGCCGCGGUAUCCUGACCGUGCGAAGGUAGCGUAAUCAUUUGUCUUUUAAAUAGAGACCUGUAUGAAUGGCAUAACGAGGGUUUAACUGUCUCCUUCCCCUAGUCAAUGAAAUUGAUCUGCCCGUGCAGAAGCGGACAUAAACACAUAAGACGAGAAGACCCUAUGGAGCUUUAGACAAAAGAUCAAACAUGUAAAGAAACCAAACCAACCAAAAGGAACACGAAGGCCACAAAACCCAACGUAAACUGAUCUAAAUGUCUUCGGUUGGGGCGACCAUGGGGGAAAGAAAAGCCCCCACGAGGAACAGGGACAACCCCUAAACUAAGAGAGACACCUCUAAGCAACAGAAAAUCUGACCAAAAUGACCCAGGAUACUAAUCCUGAUCAACGAACCAAG